UCCCUCUCGCCCUAUCCUUAAGUAUGAUUUCCAUGUGAAAGAAAAUUGACAGACCACUUUAUCCGUAAAAUAAAAGAUCAGUUAUUGUUCUCUCCUGAGUCCCGUUGCUGGUUGCCCUGGCUGGGAUUCACCCGAUCAAUGAAGCGUCCAUUGAGUCGAUCUAUUAUUAUCCAUCGGGUAAAGUCGUUACCGGGCGUAGAGUCAUUUCAGCCGACGAGAAAAUCUUGGCAAGAACGACGCAGAUUCACACUCGCGGCGAACCGAUCCAGAGAGCCAGGCCCAGUACCGGGGUCAGCGGGUACGGCACCCCAGGACCUCCGCUGUACCGUAGAUCGUGCUGGGAGAUCCUCCUUUCCGUGCGCUUUGGUGUCCAGGAGCUGCGGUUGGGUAUUGUGGAGGUUCGCAGGUGUUCAUAGAUGUUACGUGUGAUUUGUCGUGUAAUGGUUUGAACUGUAUCCUCGCGGCAACCUUGGAAUGUCCUGUAAUGAUGACGUAUGGUCUUUCUCUUCGUCUUUAAGUGGGAUGCAGUGCUAGUUCAUACACUUGAAUGGCACUUCUUGGUACCUUGCGCCUUUUUAUACGAAAUAUGGGGAGAAAAAGAGGGAGGGAGAGAGACAGAGGCAUUGCUGUUUAGGUCGUGCUGUUGUAUGUGACACGCAUACUGUUCAGUAUUGCAAAACGCGAAGGAUUUCCUCAAGUCACUCAUCGCCCGGGUAACCAAAUCUUACAUCAUGACCGGAGUGAUGUCAUGGCACGCGUACGCCAAAAAACUGCUUAGCGAACUUUCAAUCAUAACGCAUUCGUAAUGCCUUCGCGCUGCAACCCGCGAGCAAAGUACCUCAUCGUUUCCAGAUUCUAGGCAGAGAACGGCUUGGAAUGUGCCUUGACUCCUAAUCAUUGCCUGACCCAGCUGCCAAGCCGAGGCGAAGCAGCGUUGCCAUUGAUUGAGAUUUUGCCGACGUGGAAUCGGUCACGUCAGCGGAAUGGACUGGUUUCGAGAGCUCUGACGAAGCCCAAACCGACGGCCAAAUCUGCCACAGCUACAAGGAAGAUGAAGACAAGGAAGAUUACGAACGAAAAGAUGAGAACCUUCUUAUCAAGCAUAGAAAUCGGGAGACAUUUUCUGCACGCGUAUUGACAUGUCCUUGGUCACGUGAGACGGAGAGCACCCUGGGCCAUUCUUUCGUGAUUAGGACAGGAUGUGCUAUUGUUCGGCAAUGUGCAGAAAUGAUCCUGUGCUCUCGUAGCCGCCUGCAAGUCCCUGGCAAAAGGGUGAACCGAAGCCAGAGUCGAGUGUUCGAACAAGUCACGCAGGUUGUUUGAUGGGUAAAGGAGUCUACAGACAACGGAGAGUUUCAUUAGGGGACAAUUUAAUUAACAAUGUUUCGAUGAAUGAUUUGUAAUAGCAACAGCAUUUUAAGUAUUCGGCAUGGCAGCAAUGAAGUAAAGAUAUAAACUUAUUGUCACGCGUGGAAUGUUUAUAUAUAUAUAUAUAUAUAUAUAUAUAUUGAUGUACCAUCCUUUAAUUAUUUGACUGCCAUAAUCAAGUAUCUGUUUCAGUUGGCAGUCGUUCUCACUCUCAUGCAAAUCUCAGAGCAUUCUCUGACGGUGCUUAUUUUCUUUCAAUCUGUCACUUCAUCAGAGGGGUUUAAAUAGGUGUUCGUAGUAGGAUGUAAACCGUAUGUAUGGUUAUUUGGUAAUAAAGUAUGGGCAGUAGUUAACUGUUCCCUCGAUGAAUUGAAUGUACUGUGAGAAAUGGUUGGUAAUGUCAAUGGUGACAAUUGAUUUCACACACACACUCACACUUACACUCACACUUACACUCACACUCACACUCACACUCACACUCACACUCACACUCACACUCACACUCACACUCACACACACAUUUUGUGAACACUUGCAGUGCAUGUACUUAUACCCACCAUCGUGUACUGAAUUAUAGGUACACAGUAAUGAGCUCUCCAACAGCAGUGUUACAUUGGUCUAUGUAACAUUUAGUCGAUAUAUUGUGUUUAUGCAAUAUUUUUUUCAUAUUGAAUACAAACCUGUAUUCUGAUAACUAUUGAUUUUACUAAUAUUUUCAAUGCUAAAUUAAAAAUAACUUGAUAUUUCUUGUUACAAUUAUCAUUGAUUGUUCUGAAAUGCAUUCCUUGCAUAAACUGUAUCGUUUAGUGUUCUCCUUAAUCGCCCAAGGCAAAUUCACCUUCAGAUAUCAGAGACAUUUGGGUAAACUUGAACAGAUGCCCUUUUUCUCCUUUUCUUUCUUUUUUGUAAAGGUAUAGUUUAUACUAACUUACAUUUUUUAGAAUUCAGGACCCCCUAGUUUUAGCUCCGGGGCUUCCGUUAGGUAAAGGUCACACUGAUGGCUCUCUCGUUGGAGAAUAAUGCCAAAGAUUUACGUGCAGCCGCCACACAUAAUUCCCAGAUCUUCUUCAGGGAUGUUUGGGUCUUCUGUGCCUAUAUUGCCAUAUUAUGCCAGUGUUUCAGUUUCAGUGUUGGUUGUUUCAUUGACAAAAUUCGUGAUAACUAAUAAUGUAUAUAAAUAGGACUUGUUUGUAGUUCAUCCUACUACUAGGUUCAAAACAGGUUAGUAAGGUGCGGGACUUUCAUUGCAUUAGAAAUAAUUCCCUUUCCAUCUCUUUAGAUACUUGCAAACUCUAGACGAGGGUUUCAGACUAGAUCCUGUAAUUAAGUAUGAUGAUUUCACUUCCUGAUGUACUCCGAAAGCUGAAAGGACCAAAUGAGGAAUCUCGGUAGGUAGUAAUGCCACCAGUGCCAGUUGAAUGGGAAGUACUCUUCAUGGCUCUGACCUCUACCAAGACUGAAAUCGGUAGAUGUGGCAUUACGUAGGAUUUUCUUCUUUUCUUCGAAUUCUACCAGGAAUGCAGUUGGAAUAUAUGGGAUCAAGAACGUAAAUCAGUCCAGUUCUACACAUUACCAUGGAGUUGGGUAUACCCUCAUCUACAAAACUAGAGCUGGCACCUCCUGACAAGGCUGGUCAGCAAGGAUAUGGUGUAUAAGCCACCAGGUAGUAAUAAAAUAAUAUUACAUAUGAAAUGGCAGUGUAAUUGUUCUUUUAAUCACACCUAAUUUCUUUUCAACUUGUUAUUAGUAAUAGAUUUCUCUAUAAUAAGUGCUUAAAUAAUAAAUAUAGAAUAGAAAUGCAUUAUUAGUUCAUUCAUUGUGGAGUUACACCAUAAUUGUUCUGUUAAGUAUAAUGAUACUUCACCAUUGAGUCUAACGAGAAUUAUUUUGUAAACCCCCUUAUGUACAUCCAAGAAACCCUUCUUUGAGAAUCUCUGAUCAGGAGUGAGAACAUUUAUGCCAAAAUAUGAUGAAAUAAAUUAUGAGCAUCAAG
This 3361-nucleotide long non-coding RNA is filed under the name Penaeus chinensis. RNAcentral describes it as "uncharacterized LOC125044022". Lineage: Eukaryota; Metazoa; Arthropoda; Malacostraca; Decapoda; Penaeidae. The record is from RNAcentral.